UACGGAGGGUGCAAGCGUUGUUCGGAAUUACUGGGCGUAAAGCGCGUGUAGGCGGCCAUUUAUGUCGGGUGUGAAAUCCCUGGGCCUAACCCAGGAAGUGCGCCCGAAACUGGAUGGCUUGAGUACGAUAGGGGGGGACGGAAUUCCCAGUGUAGAGGUGAAAUUCGUAGAUAUUGGGAAGAACACCGGUGGCGAAAGCGGUUCCCUGGAUCUGUACUGACGAUAAGACGCGAAAGCGUGGGGAGCAAACAGG
RNAcentral lists this ribosomal RNA (253 nucleotides) under uncultured bacterium. RNAcentral describes it as "partial 16S ribosomal RNA". It matches the Rfam family "Bacterial small subunit ribosomal RNA", at positions 524 to 776 of the family's 1533-position model. The record is from RNAcentral.